AAUUCGAUUAGUUUGAUCAUGGCUCAGGACGAACGCUGGCGGCGUGCUUAACACAUGCAAGUCGAGCGGAAAGGCCCUUUUGGGGGUACUCGAGCGGCGAACGGGUGAGUAACACGUGAGUAAUCUGCCCUUCACUCUGGGAUAACUGCCUGAAAGGGUGGCUAAUACCGGAUAUUCUCUGGACAUCGCAUGGUGUUUGGUGGGAAGAUUUUUUGGUGGGGGAUGUGCUCGCGGCCUAUCAGCUUGUUGGUGGGGUAAUGGCCUACCAAGGCUUUGACGGGUAGCCGGCCUGAGAGGGUGACCGGCCACACUGGGACUGAGACACGGCCCAGACUCCUACGGGAGGCAGCAGUGGGGAAUAUUGGACAAUGGGCGGAAGCCUGAUCCAGCAACGCCGCGUGAGGGAUGACGGCCUUCGGGUUGUAAACCUCUUUCAGCACAGACGAAGCGCCCUGUCGGGUGGUGACGGUAUGUGCAGAAGAAGCACCGGCCAACUACGUGCCAGCAGCCGCGGUAAUACGUAGGGUGCGAGCGUUGUCCGGAAUUAUUGNGCGUAAAGGGCUCGUAGGCGGUUUGUCGCGUCGGGAGUGAAAUCCACUGGCUUAACUGGUGGCUUGCUUUCGAUACGGGCAGACUGGAGGUAUGCAGGGGA
RNAcentral lists this ribosomal RNA (652 nucleotides) under uncultured bacterium. RNAcentral describes it as "bacterial SSU rRNA". It matches the Rfam family "Bacterial small subunit ribosomal RNA", at positions 1 to 658 of the family's 1533-position model. The record is from RNAcentral.